GAGGGUACAGCUCAGUAGUGGAACACAUGCUUAGCAUGCAUGAGGUCCUGGGUUUAAUCCUCAGUACCCCCA
Molecule: transfer RNA, 72 nt
Organism: Camelus ferus (Wild Bactrian camel)
Lineage: Eukaryota; Metazoa; Chordata; Mammalia; Artiodactyla; Camelidae
Rfam family: tRNA
About the family: Transfer RNA (tRNA) molecules are approximately 80 nucleotides in length. Their secondary structure includes four short double-helical elements and three loops (D, anti-codon, and T loops).
Source: Rfam